This 424-nucleotide ribosomal RNA is filed under the name uncultured Alistipes sp. RNAcentral describes it as "bacterial SSU rRNA". It matches the Rfam family "Bacterial small subunit ribosomal RNA", at positions 338 to 778 of the family's 1533-position model. Lineage: Bacteria; Pseudomonadati; Bacteroidota; Bacteroidia; Bacteroidales; Rikenellaceae. The record is from RNAcentral.
CCUACGGGAGGCAGCAGUGGGGAAUAUUGCACAAUGGGGGAAACCCUGAUGCAGCAACGCCGCGUGAAGGAAGACGGUUUUCGGAUUGUAAACUUCUGUUCUUAGUGAAGAAUAAUGACGGUAGCUAAGGAGCAAGCCACGGCUAACUACGUGCCAGCAGCCGCGGUAAUACGUAGGUGGCAAGCGUUGUCCGGAUUUAUUGGGUUUAAAGGGAGCGUAGACGGUGUGGCAAGUCUGAUGUGAAAGGCAUGGGCUCAACCCCGGGACUGCAUUUGGAACUGUCAGGCUAGAGUGUCGGAGAGGAAAGCGGAAUUCCUAGUGUAGCGGUGAAAUGCUUAGAUAUCACGAAGAACUCCGAUUGCGAAGGCAGCCUGCUAAGCUGCAACUGACAUUGAGGCUCGAAAGUGUGGGUAUCAAACAGGAU